Molecule: long non-coding RNA, 1923 nt
Organism: Choloepus didactylus (southern two-toed sloth)
Lineage: Eukaryota; Metazoa; Chordata; Mammalia; Pilosa; Megalonychidae
Exons: 3
Source: RefSeq, a predicted model, not a curated record
AUAUGCUACAACAUGAAUGAACUUUGAAAACAUUACACUAAGUGAAAGACGCUAUUCACAAAAGCCACAUAUUGCAUGAUUCUGUUUAUAUGGAAUUUUUAUGUCUAGAAUAGGCAAGACUGUAGAGGCAGAAAGUAGCUUAGCAGGUACCUUGAGCUGGCGAGGAGUGUUGGGGGAAAAUGGAGGGUAAUGGCUAAUGGAUGUGGGGUUUCUUUUUGGGGUGAUGAAAAUUUUCUACAGUUGUUUGUGUCGAUGGUUGCGUAACUGUGGAUAUGCUAAAAACCAUUGAACAGUAAAAUGGGUGAAUUGUAUAGUAUGGGAAUUAUAUUCUAAAGCUAUUAUUUUGUAAAAAGUUAAUAUGUUAAAGAAAACUCCAAAAUAACAGUCCAGUGUUUCUUCCCCCAGGAGCAUGCACCCAGUGCAUUCCCAAAACGAGUUUUCCUUCACAUCCCACUCCCCUUCAACAUCCCUUCCCCAAAUCACCAACUCUUACAAGUGUUCUCCUUUAAGGUUUGAGAUUUGAAGCUAGUGGAGGAACUUCUACUUUUUUACUUAAUGUUUUAUAUAUGUGUUACUGUUUGAAUUAAAAUAUAUGACAUGCAACUGAAAAUGAACUAAUCGUUUAUAUAUGUUUCUUGAUAGUCCUAAAUGUCCGUCUGUCUGCUGUCUAGUACCCACCUCCCCUCUACAGCUGCACUGCCUCUGCCUCAGUUCAGGCCUUUAGCUGUUGUCUUCUGAAUUAUUACCACAAAUACACCCGGAUCAGCCUCUGCAGGUUGGCUGUCUCCUCUGCCUGUUUUUACAAUGCUGGAAGCCCUUUUAAUGGUUAGGAUUAGACGGUUGACUACCAAAGCCAGUGGCUGGCUGAAUAAUAUUCCAUUGUGCGUACAGACCACAAUUUGUUUACCCAGCCUCCCGGUGAUGGACGUUCGGGCUGUUUCCACCUUUUGGCUAUUGUGACUAGUGCUGCCAUGAACAAUCAUACUAGGAUUUGAGCCCCUGUUGUCAACAAUUUUGGUAGGAACUGUACUGAAUUUGGGGCAGAGUCAUCUUUAUUAUAUUGAUCUUCCAAACCCAAAUAUAGUAUAAUUUUCUAUGUAUUCAGGUCUUUAAUAAAUGAUUUUUAAAAAAGACAUAAUUUUCUUCAUAAAGGUCUUGCCCAGAAAAUUCAUUCCAUAAAUAUGUAUUGAGUGCAAACUGUGUGCAGAUAACUGCUUCAGGCCCUGGAGAUUUUUUUAACGCAAGCUGCCAUACUUGGAUAUCUGCAAUAUAGACUUUUAAUUGCUAGAAAUACAAAGAGAAGGGUGUAAUGUUACUACAAACAGUGGAAAUUUGAUAACAGAAUGGCAUUUGUAGAAUGUGCGAAGGUUAUGGAAUGUGGAAAACUUCAGAAGCAUGAGAGAAUGCAGCAUGUCUGGGGACGCAAACAGGUUAGUCUUCAUCAGGAAGCAGUGGGAGGUGGACGCCACAGGUGGGGAUGUGCCCAGACCUUCCUGCAGGCGGGAAGGACUUAUUUCCUGGGCUCCUGGAAACGCUGCCAGGAAACAAACCUCAGCCGUCAGCUCUCAUUGGACAUCGACUUUGCUCAAGAAAGCCACCUCACUCAAGGUCACGUCCAUGGAGUAAGGUCUGACUGACCCAGGACAGACUGGAGGGGCCACCCAGCUCCGGAGCUCCCUGGGGUUGGGUGAGGGCCACCACACCUGCACCACUGCUCACCUGUCCCCUCCGCUCACUCCUGCUUCCUUCCUCCUCUUCCACAGGUAUUGAUCCAGGAGAAUUUCCUAAUGUCCUACCCACAUGCUGCCUCCAUCUAAGGGAAGCCACCCUACCUGUGACAGGUGAGCAGGGUGCAGAUCAUGAAGAUCAUUUUCACCCUGUUAAGGAGCUUGGUUAUUGGAUUCUUCAGGCGUCCGUGGAAAC